Molecule: ribosomal RNA, 460 nt
Filed under: uncultured bacterium
Lineage: Bacteria
Description: partial 16S ribosomal RNA
Rfam family: Bacterial small subunit ribosomal RNA
Source: RNAcentral
CCUACGGGUGGCAGCAGUGAGGAAUAUUGGUCAAUGGGCGCGAGCCUGAACCAGCCAAGUCGCGUGAGGGAAGACGGUCCUAUGGAUUGUAAACCUCUUUUGUACAGGGGUAAACCGGAAUACGUGUAUUCUUCUGAAAGUACUGUACGAAUAAGGAUCGGCUAACUCCGUGCCAGCAGCCGCGGUAAUACGGAGGAUCCAAGCGUUAUCCGGAUUUUUUGGGUUUAAAGGGUGCGUAGGCGGCUUGAUAAGUUAGGGGUGAAAUUCUCGGGCUUAACCCGGGAACUGCCGUUAAUACUGUUGAGCUAGAGAGUGUAUGCGGUAGGCGGAAUGUGUGGUGUAGCGGUGAAAUGCUUAGAGAUCACGCAGAACACCGAUUGCGAAGGCAGCUUACCAAGCUAUAUCUGACGUUGAGGCACGAAAGCGUGGGGAGCAAACAGGAUUAGAUACCCGAGUAGUC